AUUGAACGCUGGCGGCAUGCUUUACACAUGCAAGUCGAACGGCAGCGCGGGCUUCGGCCUGGCGGCGAGUGGCGAACGGGUGAGUAAUGCAUCGGAACGUGCCCCGUAGUGGGGGAUAGCCCGGCGAAAGCCGGAUUAAUACCGCAUACGACCUGAGGGUGAAAGCGGGGGAGCGAAAGGCCUCGCGCUAUUGGAGCGGUCGAUGUCGGAUUAGCUAGUUGGUGGGGUAAAGGCUUACCAAGGCGACGAUCCGUAGCUGGUCUGAGAGGACGACCAGCCACACUGGGACUGAGACACGGCCCAGACUCCUACGGGAGGCAGCAGUGGGGAAUUUUGGACAAUGGGGGCAACCCUGAUCCAGCCAUGCCGCGUGCGGGAAGAAGGCCUUCGGGUUGUAAACCGCUUUUGUUCGGGAAGAAAUCCUCUGGGCUAAUACCCCGGGGGGAUGACGGUACCGGAAGAAUAAGCACCGGCUAACUACGUG
This 484-nucleotide ribosomal RNA is filed under the name uncultured bacterium. Its description in RNAcentral is "partial 16S ribosomal RNA". It matches the Rfam family "Bacterial small subunit ribosomal RNA", at positions 28 to 507 of the family's 1533-position model. The record is from RNAcentral.